UGGGUUGUGGCUCAGUGGUAGAGCACUCACCUAGCAUGUGCAAGGCCCUGGGUUCGAUCCUCAGCACCACAU
RNAcentral lists this transfer RNA (72 nucleotides) under Marmota monax (woodchuck). It matches the Rfam family "tRNA". From Rfam's summary of the family: Transfer RNA (tRNA) molecules are approximately 80 nucleotides in length. Lineage: Eukaryota; Metazoa; Chordata; Mammalia; Rodentia; Sciuridae. The record is from Rfam by way of RNAcentral.